Molecule: long non-coding RNA, 3919 nt
Filed under: Olea europaea subsp. europaea
Lineage: Eukaryota; Viridiplantae; Streptophyta; Magnoliopsida; Lamiales; Oleaceae
Source: RNAcentral
CAAAAUCAGAAUCAACAUACCUAUACAAGCCUAUCUUUGAGCUACCAUAACACAGGGCCAUAUCUCAAGUACCCUUUAGAUAUCGCAAUAUCCACUUGGCAGCUUCCCAAUGCUCUUUGCCAGGAUUAUUCAUGAAUCUACUGACAACUCUCACUACAUGAGCAAUAUCUGAUCUUGUACAAACCAUAGAAUACAUCAAGCUGCCAAUGGUUGAGGCAUAAGGGACCUUAGCCAUGUAUUCUUUCUCCUCGUGCGUUAUUGCUCCUUGUUCCUUUUUAAUCUGAAAUGAGCUGCUAUUGGGGUGCUAACAGGCUUAGCACUUUCCAUGUUGAAUCUCUUGAGGACUUUACCAAUAUAUUCUUCUCGUGAUAGCUUUAAUCUCUUGUUUACCCUGUCUCUACUAAUUCGCAUUCCAAGAAUUUGUUUUGCCGCACCCAAAUCCUUCAUUUCGAAUUCUUUAGACAACUGCUCUUUUAGCUUAAUAAUUUUAUCCAUACUUGAACCUGCAACAAGCAUAUCAUCUUCAUACAAGAGAAGUAUCAAAUAUGAAGUGUCAAGCCUUUUGUAAUAACAAUAGUGAUCACCAUGGCAUCUAUGGAAGCCUGCAUUUGUCAUGAAGCUAUCAAAUUUCUUAUACCACUGCCUAGGCACCUAUUUUAGACCGUAUAAACUCUUCUUGAGUUUACACACACCAGGUUCUCCUUUCCUGUAACCACAUAGCCUUAGGGUUGAUGCAUAUAAAUAUCCUCCUCCAAAUCACCAUAAAGGAAUGCAGUUUUAAUAUCUAACUGCUCCAAAUGCAAAUCCUAAACUGCCACAAUGCUACUGAUAGUAUAAAUUUUAACAACAGGAGAGAAAAUCUCAGUAUAAUCGAUACCUCCUUUAUGUUGGAAACCUUUUAUGACCAACCUGGCUUUGUAUCAUUUGGUGCCAUUAGGUUCUUCUUUCAAGCGAUAAACCAAUAAUGCAUAUUUUCCUUCGGGCAAUAGAACUAGUUCCCACGCCUGAUUCAUCAAGAGAGAUUCCAUCUCAUCAUUCAUUGCCAGCUCCCACUUUUCCCUCAUCUCAACCUGUAAUGCUUCCUCAUAACACUCAGAUUCACCAUUGUCGAUCAGCAAUAAAUAAUGCAAGGAAGGUGAAUAACAAUCUACAGGCCUAAUAGUUCUUGUAGACCUCCUCACAGGAACUGGGGUUAAUAUCUCUGUGGGUGGUGUCAACUGGACAUUCGUAUCUUGGGGUCUCAACACAUAUUUAUUAGAGAUUUCCUCAAGCUCCACUGUCUCAGGUUCCUUGGUCUUAUCAUCAAGUCUAUCCCUGUACAUGACGGACUCAUUGAACACCACAUCCACGCUUCUAAUUAAAUUUUGAUUUUCAUAAUCCCAAAAUCGAUAACCAUAAUUAUCGAUGCCAUAACUAUUAAAGAUGCAUUUACGAGACUUAGAAUCAAGCUUUUUCCUAUUCUCAGGCUCAAUGUGGACAUAGGAGAUGCAACAAAACAUUCUUAAAUGUGAUAGGUUCACCUCUUUUCCUGUCCACGCCUCCUUUGGGAUUCCGCAAUUCAAGGAAACUGAAGGACCUCUAUUGAUCAAGUAAUCAGUUGUGCUUACUGCAUCUAUCCAAAAUUGUUUUGGUAAACCAGAAUUAAUCCUCAUACUUUUAGCACGUUCUAGGAUUGUUCUGUUAAUGUGUUCUGCAACGCCAUUCUGUCGCGAUUUUCCUGGAAUUGUCAGCACUUGUUGAAUUCCAUUUUCUGCACAAUAUUUCUUCAUUCGACUAUCUAUGUCCUCACCUCCAUUGUCUGACUUGCAUUUCAACUUUAAACCUGUCUCAUUCUCAACUAGGACAUUCCAUUUUUGACGACAUCAAAUAAAUCAAAUUUGUUCUUCAUAAAGUAAACUCAUAGCUUUCUAAUAGCAUCAUUAAUAAAAGUAACAAAAUUGCGAGAGCCAUCAAGAGAUGCUACCUGAGAUGGUCCCCAUACAUCUGUAUGCACCAGCUCCAACCGUUCUGACUUGCGUGUUCUUUGAGCUUUUGUGAAACUAACAAUUUUCUACUUUCCGAAGAUACAAUCUUCACAGAAAUCCAAGUCUAGAGACUUCAAACAUGGUAGUUUUCCUUUUAACAUCAGAACUUUCAUCCCUUUCUCGCUCAUAUGUCCAACUCUACGAUGCCACGUACUUGCCUCGACUUCUGAUGAUGUGAUGGCAAUGGAACUAUGAGAACAAGAAGUAACAUAAAGAGUACCUUCCUUUUUGCCAUGAGCUACCACCAUAGCUCCUUUGGUCAUCUUCCAAGUGUUCCCAACAAAUGUGGUUGUAAUACCGGAGUCAGUAAGUUGACCUACUGAAAUUAGAUUCUUUUGCAAACAUGGCACAUCUGACAUCCUUGAUUCUUAGGACGGUUCCAUUAGGUUGAUUUAUUUGUAUAUCAAAUCUCAUCAUUUCCAAGAUGAACCUUGUCGAGGUUGCUGGUACAUAGUUAUGGAGCAAUUCCUUGUGCGAAGUAGCAUAGAACGACGCACCCGAAUCAAUUACCCAUGUUUCUCCAUGAGCAUCCAUAGCUAAUAACAAUGCAUCAGAAUUUUCACCAUCUGAAACAUUAACAAAGUUUUUGUCUCCUUGGUUGUUUUCUUGCUUCUUUGGUGUUUUGCAAUCUUGCUUUGUAUGACUGGAUUUUCCACAGUUCCAACACUUGCCUUUGAACUUUGGUCGAGAUAGUGAUCGACCAUUUCUUGACCGACUUAUGUUUCGCUUGUGGUUGCUCCUCUAUUUGGCUUUCUACCUCUAUCUUCAGUUGCUAAUGCCAAACCCAAGGUUUCUCCACUAUCUUUUCUACAAGUGUCUUCGUUAAAAACCAAAUCUACAACAUGAUCUGGUUUCAACUUUGCCGAUCCUGUGGAAUUGCUUACUGCCACAACCAAAGGAUUCUAGCUCUCUGGAAGACUUGAUAACAGUGUCAGUGUUUUGACCUCAUCGUCAAAUGAGAUAUCAACCGAUUCCAAUUGACUUAUAAGUGCAUUAAAAUCGUUGAUAUGUUCUAUUGCAACUCCUCCCUCGGACAUCUUUAAGUUGAACAGCUUCUUGAUAAGAUGGACUUUAUUUGUUGCAGAGGGCUUUUCAUACAUUUGCGAUAAAGCAGCCAUCAAACUUUCGGUUGUCUUUUCAUUUCUAAUAUUAAAAGCAACAAAUGAAGCAAGAGUUAGCCUUAUUGUACCUAAGGCUUUACGGUCGAGUAACUCCCACUCUUCAUAUCUACUGGCUUCUUUGACUCUCCUUCAAGAGGAAGGUAAAGGUCCUUUUGGUAGAGGUAAUCUUCUAUUUGCAUCUUCCACAAUCCGAAGUUCGAUUCAUUGAAUUUUUUGAUCUUAACUUUUCCGUCUUCUGCCAUCAUUGAUAUUGUAGCAACUUAGCUAUUGUUGAACACAACUAUUGUUUAUAGGUACACAGGCUCCACCAAUUUUGCUAUAACUUGGUGCUCUGAUACCAAUUGUUAGGAAAGAAUAGCUCAGGAUAAUGAAAAAUAGUAAAACUUGGAUAUAGAUUUCACUAAAUAAUAAUGCGGCUCUAUUAUGAAAUAAGAACAGAGGAUUACAAGAUGAGUUUCAAAUAGGAGUUACAAAUGAGAUAUUAUCUCUCUCAAAAAAAAAAAAAAAAACUCUAUCCAUUCCAAAUCCUCACUUAGUGCUCAAUUGUUUUUAGCACACACUCCUUGAACGUACAUUUCUAAUGAACACGUCCUAAGGCCUAUUUAUAGAUUUUGUAAGGCGGUUUAUCAUUUGACAAAUACAACUUGAACUCCUCCUCUAGAAGUUGAAAAAUCAAAGAUGAACUUGAUCGACCAAUAGGCUUUCUUUCCUUGCUUGACUUGGUAGAUUUACUUGUUUGAAUUUUCUUCUUGGUGGCAAAGAAUAAUUUGAUAA